CUACGUGCCAGCAGCCGCGGUAAUACGGAAGGUCCAGGCGUUAUCCGGAUUUAUUGGGUUUAAAGGGAGUGUAGGCGGUUUGUUAAGCGUGUUGUGAAAUUUAGGUGCUCAACAUUUAACUUGCAGCGCGAACUGUCAGACUUGAGUACACGCAACGUAUGCGGAAUUCAUGGUGUAGCGGUGAAAUGCUUAGAUAUCAUGAAGAACUCCGAUUGCGAAGGCAGCAUACGGGAGUGUAACUGACGCUUAAGCUCGAAGGUGCGGGUAUCGAACAGGAUUAGAUACCCUGGUAGUCCGCACAGUAAACGAUGGAUGCCCGCUGUUGGUACCUGGUAUCAGCGGCUAAGCGAAAGCAUUAAGCAUCCCACCUGGGGAGUACGCCGGCAACGGUGAAACUCAAAGGAAUUGACGGGGGCCCGCACAAGCGGAGGAACAUGUGGUUUAAUUCGAUGAUACGCGAGGAACCUUACCCGGGCUUGA
Molecule: ribosomal RNA, 480 nt
Filed under: uncultured bacterium
Lineage: Bacteria
Description: bacterial SSU rRNA
Rfam family: Bacterial small subunit ribosomal RNA
Source: RNAcentral